GAGAAUGCCGGUGUGAGUAGCGAAAGACGGGUGAGAAUCCCGUCCACCGAUUGACUAAGGUUUCCAGAGGAAGGCUCGUCCGCUCUGGGUUAGUCGGGUCCUAAGCUGAGGCCGACAGGCGUAGGCGAUGGAUAACAGGUUGAUAUUCCUGUACCACCUAUAAUCGUUUUAAUCGAUGGGGGGACGCAGUAGGAUAGGCGAAGCGUGCGAUUGGAUUGCACGUCUAAGCAGUAAGGCUGAGUAUUAGGCAAAUCCGGUACUCGUUAAGGCUGAGC
RNAcentral lists this ribosomal RNA (275 nucleotides) under Staphylococcus aureus. RNAcentral describes it as "partial 23S ribosomal RNA". It matches the Rfam family "Bacterial large subunit ribosomal RNA", at positions 1290 to 1561 of the family's 2925-position model. The record is from RNAcentral. Lineage: Bacteria; Bacillati; Bacillota; Bacilli; Caryophanales; Staphylococcaceae.